GACGAACGCGGCGGCGUGCCUAAUACAUGCAAGUCGAGCGAAGUUUUUCUGGUGCUUGCACUAGAAAAACUUAGCGGCGAACGGGUGAGUAACACGUAAAGAACCUGCCUCAUAGACUGGGACAACUAUUGGAAACGAUAGCUAAUACCGGAUAACAGUAUUUCUCGCAUGAGAGAUAUUUAAAAGUUGGUUAUGCUAACACUAUGAGAUGGCUUUGCGGUGCAUUAGCUAGUUGGUGGGGUAAAGGCCUACCAAGGCGACGAUGCAUAGCCGACCUGAGAGGGUGAUCGGCCACACUGGGACUGAGACACGGCCCAGACUCCUACGGGAGGCAGCAGUAGGGAAUCUUCCGCAAUGGGCGAAAGCCUGACGGAGCAACGCCGCGUGAGUGAAGAAGGAUUUCGGUUCGUAAAGCUCUGUUGUUAGGGAAGAAUGGAUAUGUAGUAACUAUACAUAUAAGAGACGGUACCUAAACCAGAA
RNAcentral lists this ribosomal RNA (480 nucleotides) under Gemella morbillorum. Its description in RNAcentral is "bacterial SSU rRNA". It matches the Rfam family "Bacterial small subunit ribosomal RNA", at positions 28 to 489 of the family's 1533-position model. The record is from RNAcentral. Lineage: Bacteria; Bacillati; Bacillota; Bacilli; Caryophanales; Gemellaceae.